CACGUAGGGUGCGAGCGUUGUCCGGAAUUAUUGGGCGUAAAGAGCUCGUAGGCGGUGUGUCGCGUCGGCCGUGAAAACCUGCAGCUUAACUGUGGGCUUGCGGUCGAUACGGGCAUCACUGGAGUUCGGCAGGGGAGACUGGAAUUCCUGGUGUAGCGGUGAAAUGCGCAGAUAUCAGGAGGAACACCGGUGGCGAAGGCGGGUCUCUGGGCCGAUACUGACACUGAGAAGCGAAAGCGUGGGGAUCAAACAGG
This 254-nucleotide ribosomal RNA is filed under the name uncultured bacterium. RNAcentral describes it as "partial 16S ribosomal RNA". It matches the Rfam family "Bacterial small subunit ribosomal RNA", at positions 524 to 776 of the family's 1533-position model. The record is from RNAcentral.